CAAGUCGAACGGCACCCCUCUCCGGAGGGAAGCGAGUGGCGAACGGCUGAGUAACACGUGGAGAACCUGCCCCUCCCCCGGGAUAGCCGCCCGAAAGGACGGGUAAUACCGGAUACCCCCGGGCGCCGCAUGGCGCCCGGGCUAAAGCCCCGACGGGAGGGGAUGGCUCCGCGGCCCAUCAGGUAGACGGCGGGGUGACGGCCCACCGUGCCGACAACGGGUAGCCGGGUUGAGAGACCGACCGGCCAGAUUGGGACUGAGACACGGCCCAGACUCCUACGGGAGGCAGCAUG
This 293-nucleotide ribosomal RNA is filed under the name uncultured bacterium. Its description in RNAcentral is "partial 16S ribosomal RNA". It matches the Rfam family "Bacterial small subunit ribosomal RNA", at positions 58 to 353 of the family's 1533-position model. The record is from RNAcentral.